This 22583-nucleotide long non-coding RNA is filed under the name Gallus gallus (chicken). Lineage: Eukaryota; Metazoa; Chordata; Aves; Galliformes; Phasianidae. The record is from RNAcentral.
GCCUGAGAUCUUCUUUGUGUCCAGCAUUCCUGGCAAGUAGACAUUGUCAUACGAUUUGUUUUUCUGGCUAUACUUAGAGUAGUAAAACUUAUCUGCGUGUCCAAGAGCUUUUUCAUUUUCUCUGUUGGCAUGAAUAUCAAAGUCUGUCCUUCCUAAGUUGUACCCACUGAGGGAUGGAGAUGUGCCCGACAGGGAACUCAAAUGCUUUACAGAGAAGCUUUUAUCUGGAAGAUACGGACUUUCACAAGGGAAAAGCUUGCCUCCUUGAAUUUUGGUAACAGAGUGUAUAUUUUUAACACUAGUGGAAGGACUGGGUUUAGCCAUCAUAGGCUGUGAAAGGGUUAAGUAAGAACCGGCGCAGUCCCCGUUUGUUUUAAAUUUGAGACUUGAUGAAUAUUUCUUCGUGUUGAGGUUUUCCAUAAUAUCCUGGAGACCGUUUUCAAGGGAAUUCACCACAGAACCCUUUCCCAAACUAGCAUUUUGUAAUUCCAUCUGGUUUUGUGUGUGGUUAUACUCUGCCAUAAUCUUACUGGAAUCUGACCCAACAUUCUGAAGGGACGAGGCGUUACUUCUGUUUGACAUCAUAUUCUUUUAACUGUCACAUAGAAGAUGAAACUUAAUUUUGACCGCCGCCGCGCAUCCCGCUGCCGCCCGCCGCUGCCGCCCCGUCCCGGCCCCGCGCCGCCGCCGCCACCGCCGCCGGGAGCCGCCCCCCGCACCGCGCAGCGCAGCCCAGCAGCCAGCGCCGCCCCCGGCGGGGCUCGGCCGUGAGGUACCCCCGCGGGCGGAAUGGUUCGUUCCCCGCAGGCUGGGGUCGCGAGAGCGGGGCAGGCGAAGAGAAGCCGGAAUAGGGGGGGGGUGGGGCUGGGAGGAGGCGAUCGGGAGAAAAGAGCGGAAAGAGCGAUAGGGCGAGGGUUGGCGGCGGCCGGCUGGGUCCUGCCCCGCCGCGCCCCCACAGCCAGGGGUAAGCGGCGCGGCGUGAGGGGCAGCGCCGGGGCAGUCCGCGAGAGCAGCCGGCCCCCCAGGGGCCGCUCCGGGCGUUUUGCGAAGCAUAAAUAUUAAUCAUGAGGCAAUUUCCUGCCCGUAAGAUUAGCUGAGCAAAUAGGGCGGCUGCCGGGAAGGCGCGGGCUUGCUUUUCUUCGCCUGGGGUGCUCUUACCUGCGCCCUCCUGGGAGCCCUGAGGGCAAGGCUGCUCCCUGAGCCCCAGGAGGGAAAGGGGCUGCCCCGGGGCGGAGCCUGGCAGCCACCUGUGGGGCCUUGGAACAGUUUGCCCCCACCUGGAAAAACACCACCACCAAGCAGCACGUGUGCGUGCACACGCUCGUGGCCUCCUGGAGAGGCCCUAGGUUUCCGGGAAGGCUGUGUGGCUGCUAUGCCCUACUAGCUGUCCCAGGGUAGGGAGCCCAGCUGACCCAGCAGGCUGGGCACAGGGCUUCGGCCAGCAGCCCAUGGCCCUGCAUACCAGGCAGGGUGCGUUUAGUGAAACAGUGUGUCCAGUCCACGACAUAUUUGUCCACAAAGGCUGGGGACUCUGACCCAGGCACCUCCAGAGGUCUGGGAGGCUGCUAAGCGAUAGGCAGCAGGGCUGCUGCUGUCACCAGGGCAAACCAAGGAGCCUCCAGGUUCUCUGAGGAGACCUGCAAGAGCCAGACACGCAGCCAGCAUUGUUCCUUCAGCACGUAUGCAUCCUCAGCCUCACGAAGAAAACCCCAGCGAUCAAUGAACUGACCCCAUCCCAUGAUGUGAGGGCAGCAGGCCAGGGCGUCCUGGAUAAUGGUCUUGCUCGGUGCAGCGUUGGCCUUGAUGCCCUGACAUUUCCUGUUUGUGUCUCAAUAAGCAAGCACCACCUGCAUGGGGCCUGGGUAGCACCCCGCAGACCUGACACACUACAGAAACUCUGCACUGGUCCUGGUUGCAGCAUUAGUUAUGAUCUGGAGCCCGUCUUGCCUUUUCCAGGGGAUAUUUUACUUGGCUAAAAGAAUCACUUUACCACCGUAUAAACUCUGCAAUCCCUCUUUAAAAUCUCUAAUCUGUGUUAUAACACCCUCAGUCCCAGAGAACACUAAAGAGGUAAUGGCUGUCCUGGUGUCUACUGCAGUUUUCAUAGAAAAUGAUGAGCUUUUAAGACAAGUUAUUCCAAGAGGCCAGAACCUAGCUGAGCUCUUCCCCUGGUGAUGUCUGGGGGCUUCAUCUACUGCUGGUGUUGAACCUGGCUCUUCUGCUCUGCUCACCAAACAAACAGUAAGUCCACGCGGUUAAACAAAUAAAGCCACAUACACGUCAGGAAUGCAAAGUUAAGGACAUGCUCACAGCUGGAAGAAGUGAGAAUGGCUUUUAACAGUGCCGUGUAGUCAGAGCCAAAAGCAGCCAGCCUUCCCUUCAUCUCAGGGGGUUUUCUUUUGUUAUUUUGAGUGGGAAAACUAAUAGUAGUCUACAAAAACCUCCCUAGGGAAAAUGAAGCCUAAUAAUGUGGAAAAGAGUAACUUACAAAGGUACAAACCUUUCCUCUGAAAGAAUUUAGGAAUGGCUGUUGAAUUGUUCCUGUGGUUAGCUCCUACACAGUAGGUGGGGUGUCAGCAAAGCUGGAUGAGGCUGAGCGUGUGUUUCCCCUCCUAGACGUAGGUAGGUCACUCUGAAAGUGAUGCCUCCUCUUUAUUUCUACGGAAACUACAGUAUAUACAAAAUACACAAUAGCACUGUUUGAUAGGGCACAUUCUCUGCUACUAAACACUGUUUUCAAUAUAGUCACCACCAAUAUCUUUCAGUAUAGUCACCACCAUUAGCUAUGCAUUUUCUCCAGCAAUGAACAAGAGCCUGUAUGCCAUACUUGUAAAAAUCUACAUAGCUGUCCAGAACGUGGCUUGUCUUUCACACUGCUGUCACCACCACUGAAACACACCGCCUCGCUGUUUGAUCUCCAUCAACGUUCAGCAAGCAUUGAUGUAUGCCAGUGGGUGCAAUUUUUUCUGCAUGAAAGAAUUCAGUGACACACCUUUGCUUCAUUAGCACUUCCACAUCAGAUGUGAUUUUGUCAGACUGCCCCUCUGCUACCAUCUGUCACACAGCAACUAAAUGUAUUGUAAUACUGAUGGGAAGGUUCAGUCUCUCCUACUGUACCACCAACACCCGCCUCUAAUGUUGUGGGCUGAAAUAGGAGGCAUUACUUUCAGAACAGUGCUUGUACGUAUGGGAAAACGUUACCCAAAUCAGUGUCAUCUGUUUCUUGGCAGCAAAAGAAUAAAGAAGAAGGAAUAGAGCUUGUUUCCAAAAUAACAAGAGAUACACAAGGCCAGCCAUAGCUACAGCCAUGAAAUAAGUUGAUAAGCUGGAAUGUCUAACAAGCAAGACUGGCAACUUGUAACAAAAACUACACAUCUGAAUCUUUCAUGAUUGAGAAAUACCCAAAAGUGAGCAAAGAAGUAAAACUCCAAAAACUAAAGAGGUGCAACCUGCCUGCUCUUGUUGUAACGAAAGCAACGAAACGCCUCUUAUUAAAGAAAAUCAUGAAAAAUGAUAUGGAAACUUGCACAUGAGCUAGGAUUUUCAGAAGGGUUCACUUGUCCACCUAGCUAGCUUGAGCUGUCUUCAUGGCGGUGUCAUUGCUACAUCAACUGCAUUGCAAAUCACGGAGGCCUUUAAAACUCUCCACCCUUGAGUAUGCAGCAUGCUCAAUAAAGGUUUAGUAGUUUCCAUGGUAAUUCAUAUAAGUAAAAAUCAACUGUUGGAAAGCUUGCAGGAAGUAUAUUUUAAUCAGGAGCAUUGAAAAUGGUAAUAAAAAUAUCUCAUUAGCAAUCUUCUGUAACAGGGAAGGAGAAAUCUCUUCAGCCGGUUCUAAACUGAAGGUGAAGUCACCUCUCUGAGGUGAAGUCACCUCUCAGCAGGCACUCACAGACUCCCUUAACCAGUCCCUUAGCAUUGCAGAUUUUAUCCACAUGUGUGGAUAAAGGUGUGGGCAUGACUGCGUUUCUGUACCAUGAGCCAGAGCCCACAGCUGGUUCUGGCUUUGUGCUACCUGCGGGAGGAGAGACAACACUGACCUGACAAAGUCAGUCAAGAUAAAGCUAUCUGUUGAUGACUCUGAGCAUAGCUACACCCAGUUUUGUAUUUGGUGGCAAAACUGGUCCAGUUUCUUCCCUUUCCUGCCUUAAGUAUUCAUUUAGGUUCCCAACCUAUAGUCUGUGGCUUUCUUUGGUGGGCUGAUACGGUUCUUGGUGGAAACCAGGUCAAGAAAAUGAUCCAGGUGAAUACUUCUUUCCCUGCCCCCUUCUUCUGAAAAAGGUCCAAUAUGUCCUUGUGCUAGGGUGACUGAUGAGGAGAGGAACCAUGGCGCAGCACAGAUCUGAGAUGCUGUGCUGCAGACCAAGCUACAUUUCUUGAAACAGCAUCACCAAUACACCAAUGGAUUUUUCAAUUGCACCCUUCUUGGGCAGCACAUGGCAACAAAUGGGGUUGUACUGACUCAGUGCUUUGCAGCACGUGACCAGAGCAUUUGCAACCACUGCCUCAGUAAGGAAACCCAGCUGUUGUUUGCUGUUGCAGAAUAAUACAAACACAAUUGCUUAUAGCUCAAAAAUAAUAACAAUUUUCACUACCAGAGCUUCUGAAAGCAAGUGGUAAUUCUGCUGUAACGUCAUCAGAGACAUUUUGAGGCAGUGCAGUAGGCUGGGUCUGGUUCUGAAGGAAUCUUGGUUUUUAAGGCUCACUGGGAAUCUCUACUAAACAAACAGGCAACCUGGAGCAUGACUGCAUUCAUUAGUACCAUGCUGGUGAAAAAAGAAUAAACAUUCCUGAUAGUUCCGCUUGUCAUCUGAGCUACCGUCUGGAAAUCUGUUAAUGCAGCACGCAGAAUGGAGGUAUAUCAAACAAAAAGAAACUUAAGAUGAUGUUCAGCCAGUGAGGAGUUUCUGUGCCUUGCCCUAAAACUUUACUGAAUUGUCACACAAGAGUUAUCAACAACAAACCGCCUUAGGAAAAUAAGAUACAUGAGUAAUCAAAUCUCAUGCUCCAGGGCACAAGUCAAUUGCUGGAAGGGUCAGGAAUGGAAUUUCCUCACUCUCUUCCUUUGCGCAGUUGUACACAAUUAACUAGGUUGUAAUUGCAAGGCAAGAAAGUGGUUAGGCUUUGCAUUCCUCUGAAUCAUCAAGUGCUGCCUGCUUUUGCAGCUGAGUUCUGAGCUUAAGGGACCAGGCUGGCAGGGCUUGUUCUUAGUUGCUCUUCUGUGAGGCUCUGCUGAUGUUUGCAUUGCAGUUGCAGGGUCUGCUCUUUUCGUGCUUGCACAGUAUGCCCGUAUUUCAGAACAACCAUGAAAGUGAGGACUUAGUUUUCUGUUAAUGAGUUGUCACCUUAAAAUGUCUUUACCAGUAAACUGCAUAACUGUUUAUUACUCACAUAAGUAGUAGCAGUGUUGUAGCCAUAAUGACCUAGAGAUAUAAACAAGACAAGAGUUGUUGGAAAGGCAACCAUUUUUGUUAAAGCAAGCAGACCAUUUAGUGUAAUAGAAGGUCUUGCUAGUUCCUAUGUAAGUAAUUCAUUUUAGUAGUCAAAAAGGUUUUAACUGACAGGCCACAUACGACUCUUUGUGUCACAAGAGCACUACCCUGUUAGUUGGAGCAUGGCUGUCUUUGUAGCUGAUUAAUUGCUUCCCUUUACCAGAAGCAGCAUGCAUUUGUGAAUGAGAGAGGCUUAUGAUUUAAUUAUUCAACCCUCGAUACUAUAGCUAAACUCAUUACAGUGUUAUUGAAGUUUUUUCUACACAUAAAUACGUAUUUGGUACAUGAUAGCCAGUUCUGUGAACAAACAAGCUGAUAAGCCCAAGCGCGGGCUCUACAGGCAGCACCUUGUUCAGUGUUCCUUACAGGUGUUAAGGCAGUAAGCAAAUGAUGGGCAAAGAAGACAUGGUGCGAAUACAAUAGCUGCCGUGUUUCACUACAAUCACAGAUGAGGGCAGCAAUUCGUUCUGUAGUUGGUGGCUGGAUACAAGGGGUAUCUGUGUCCUGCGGUUGCUCCUUCUAGACUUUUUUUCCCAGCGAGGAAUAAGUUGAUUAAUAGAUUCCCAUACACGCCUUAAUUUGUCUCUGAUGCCAAGCCAGGAAAAUGUGCUGUUCCCAUUUGGUCUCUAUCUGUCAUUAUCAAAUCUGGAUGCACAAAUGUUUUUAUCUCUCUCUCUAUAACAAUGCAGCGGGUUGUCUGAGCGAGACAGUGCUUUCUUUAGUAGGGAAACUGAAGAAAUCUAAAAACGCUUAAGCCACAUGACCAAGGUUACACACAAAAUCUCAGCUACAGCAAAACACUGAGUGGAAAAACCCACGAUACUUCUUUGAUUUUGAAGUUAAUUUGUGUAAAUUCAGUUAACUAGUAGAGUCAGAAGAGGUAAAACAGUGCCUUUCUACCAAAAGGGAAAAUGGUUGCCAAAACGUUCGUCAUCCUCUUCAGAGUAAUUUGAGCUAUAAAUGAGUUAGUGGCUUUCUUAAGGGUGAAAGCUCAUCCUAAUGAAGGUUAGAUAAAAUACAUCUUCACAGUGGCUUCAUCGAGCCGUCUUUGCUAACACUGAACAUUGCUUUGCUGCACUGAAGAGAGUUGUAGAGGGAUUUUCUUGGCAGAUGGCCCUCAAAUGUGAAAUUAACUCUCAUUAACAACACAAAGGAUGACACAAUAUCACUACAGCUUUCCUCCACUACUAGGGCCAGAAUAAGAUGCAGACAAAUUUCAGCCUUAGUUUUGUGUGUGCGUUUGUUGCUGUUUUUCUUUCCUCUAAACAGGGACAAGAUUAAAGCAACAGAAAACAAAUACAAAUUAUCAUUUUCCUCCCUAUCUGUCCUUUACUCAAAGCUGCUUAUGUGCUUAGAUAAACAAAAUAUGCAAAACCCAAAGACAAACAUCCUGGAGAGUCACUAAUGCCCGAUUCAAACUCAGCCUAACCAGAACAGUAGUCCAAGCACCUAACUCCCUGCCUGCCAUUGCAACUCAUUCAACAAAAUCCUAAAAAUGGAGCAGAGCGGGGGAAGAAGAUGGCAGCAUGGAGCGCAUUCCCUCCUGUCAGACAGCAUGGGCCGAAAAGGGAGAUGGACCAAUGCCUCCCUGCAUUUUUAAACUGGUCACCGCUGUAGAAAGCCAGCUCCUACAGCCAAGACAACUUAGAUACCAAGCCGCUCACUUCAGAGCAUCUGUGCCUGUCCUACAUCACUGCGUGCCAGCAACCCAGGCUGCCUGUUUACAGAGCAGUCCCAUGCUUGCUUUUCCAUCUGGGUCUGCCCUGCUGCAACCACGAUCCCAUGUGCUCCCAAUGAAAUUCACACUGACUGAUGUUGAAUUAGGCCCACAGGAAGCAAUAAAAUACGCUUGCUGAUCCCAGAGUAUCACAGGAAAUUAACAUGUGACAUUUUUUAACACGUUGUUUUAAUAAAUUAAUUUUGUACUGUAGUUUAAAGAGGACCAUGAAAUGUGAGGUAGGACGCUGGGGGUGGUCUCUCUUCAGUUUCAUAAUGCCUUGUUUGCACGUUGCAUUUUUUUUCCCCUUCUUCUUUGUGCUACCAAAACAUUGUAACAGUCACAGAAGCAUCCCAGCAUUAAAUGAACAACACCAUUCAUCUUGAUUCCAUGUUCCCACGAGUCUGUCCUGUGACCUUAUCUGAGAAAGCCUUCACAACCACGAAGAGAAAUACACCAUCUUAACUAACAGCAUGUGAGCUAGGUAGCAGUGUGAAAAGGGAACACAAAAGCAGCCAGCCAAUAAAUGCACGAAGAGGAAAGGGAUGAUGUUGGAUCCUCAUUAGACUUCCAAGUAGUUUGUCAUUAGCUUGCUUGUAAAACCUCGGAGGCUUUAUAGGAGAAAAAUAUUUCUUCAUGCAGAAUGCCCGAGAUCUCUUCUUCUGCGAGUGGAAGUUUCAGGUUCCCCCUCCCCCUCCAUUUCUGGAGAGGCUGCCAAGUUUGUAAGAGCUAAAAGCAACAGCUUUCUGUUCAGCGUUACUUCAUGCUUCUGGUAUUAAUCUAAUAGAAGGCUAGAAUGGGAGGAGGGGAAAGAAGCAAUGAAAGCUGAUUUCCUCCCAUGCAGCAGGAAAUCCAUAGAAAAUUCAGAUCUAACAGUAAUUUUAACAGCUGGGUCACUGCUUUGGCUUUUACUUGCCAUAGGAACACACAACUACAUAUUUAUUUAUUUUUUUAACUAUAAAAAGAAAACAGGCGUCAAGCAACAGGAAAAAUAAAAACAAGACAUGCAGUUGUAAAUACCCCUAUUAACACAUCCUCUUCAACCAGCCAGGCUAGAAGUAUUAACACCUUUUGCAAAUUGCCUCUUGUUUUCAUUAACAUUCCUAAUAACAACAUCCACGAAAACAAAAUAUAGAACGAGAUCCUCUUGCUAACAAGCACAUCAACAAAUAUUUGCUUGGGAAGUGCUCCAGUAGCCACUUUGAAAGAGUCUUAGCAAAUCACAGGACUGAGAUGUUGAGCUAAAACUCCACGAUGAAGGUGAGAAAUUCUUAGCAAAACCAGAUCACAAAUAAGCAAUAUGUAAGUCGGACACAUCAGCCCUGCAGCAAUCCACAGCCACAUAUAGCACAGACCAAAUGAUUGUUAGUAACACCUUUCUAAAGAAUACUGCAUGCUGGCAGAUAAUUUCCCGUAUUUAACCUACAAUCAUGGGUAAUUUCUUUACUGGGAAAGGCUUGCUUAUUUAUUCUGGUAAAUAAUUGCUGGGAGGGUGAUGGUCACAAGUGUGGUCCUUUAUCUUGAUUAUGUGAUUCGUUUUUUUCUUCCUUUCAUGCUUUUCUCCCAGGCUUUGCUCCACCUGCUUCUCAUGCACCAUAUGGCUCAAAUCAUGUCAUACUGCAGAACUCAAGAAUUGUUUUUUUUUUUUUUUUUUUUUUUUAAUGUUGAUGCAGAGAAAGCUUAAUAGAAUACACAUGCUGAAAUGGAACCCUGCUUUGUAGAUGAAACAGGGCUAUUGCGUGUUCAUGCGUGCUUCAUGUACUAGGAAGGAUCCAUUCUGCAGUCUGAUUUCUCCAUUUUAGCAAAUGAUGGUGGUGAGAAUGCUUUACCUGCCCACUGAUGCAUGAGAUGAACAGAGUGAACAUGACAGCUGGUUUUAAUGUCACUAGCUGCAGCCAGCUGUUACACUGAAAGCGUUAAUAACCAUUUUCAUCAGUCACGGGCUUGGAUUAAACAGACUGCAAGACUCAAGGACUCUCAAGGGUUAGUGAUGGCAGAAAAAAAACCCCAGAAGCUAACACCCAAAACACCAAGUAGGAGCCACGCAAUGUGAGCAGGGAGGCUCCUCUCGGGGCAGAUAAGUACAGGGCUGGAACACUUCAUAGCUAUAGCUUGAAGUACUGAUGGGCUGUACAGACAGAAAAUCAAGCCUUGAAAAGAAAUGGGAGAAUGAGAAAAGUUCUGGUGGAUAUUAGACUAGAAAGAAGUUCAAAAAGAUGAAGCUUCCUAGGUGUUAGUACUGCUAACUGCAGAGAUAGUUCAGAAGAAAGCUUUUCACUUUCUUUGUCCCACGUUCAUAAAACCCAGGAUUUUGUGCAGUCAACAGGACCAUUGCAAUCACUCCCUCUGUACUGCAAAAAUUCCAGCUGGUAUCAGGUUUUCCUUGUAAUGGAAACAAGCUGGCAGAACUUCAAAAACUUGAUAACAACUUAAAUAGAGAAAUGACAGCAGUAGUUAUACUUUGCUAUUAAAAUGUUGUUCUGACUUCCCUUAAAAUAUAUAUAUAUAUAUAUAUGUAGUUGGAAUUAAAAAAAAAAAUUAAAAGAGAACAAGUUAGAUACAAUUUGGCAGUGCUUACAGUAAUAGCAUUUGCAUCCAGUAGCAAAUCCAUAAGAGAAUGCAAAGAUGUGGCUAUUUUGGAAUUUGUUCAAGGAAUGAUAUCUAACAGCUCAACUUUCGUCAAACAUGCCAUGGCCAGGGGAUGUGAGCCCCGUGAAAUUUGUGAGCUCAAUCAGACAGUUUCAACGACUAAGAAACUGAAAGGGAAGUUUUGAAAAUGGCAGAUAUGUGAGCAGCUUUUUUAUUUCAUUAUUGGAAGGCAAAGAAAUCGGUCAGCCCCUGAUAAGAUUGUCUUAAGAGCACAAAUACUCCAAAGAGCCUAGGAAACUGAGUGAAAAAGUGUUGAGUAAGUGGAAAUAACCUUUGGUGGAUAAAUCCAGUCCAAGCCUUUCCCUCUCAGGCUUAAUUUUGCAUGUUUCCUUUUCCUUUUUUUUUCUCCUUCCUUCCACAGUAGAAUUGUAGGUUCAGUGUCAAGAGUAUCCUAACUUUCCCUGGCUUCUGUUCUCUGUUAAAGCCGUGUGAUCUGUGCCACUUCUCAUAGAUGUAAGAAUUAUGCAGGGGCUCACAAUAACCAGAAGCUGAGUGUCUAUAUAAAUAAGACAUUUAUACUUCUCUGGAAAAAAAAAAAAUAAUAAAAGUUUCUCUUUUAAAAGUAUUACAGUCCUUCCUUUUUCUCCUCUCAUCCUUCUUUCCUGCCCAUAUGCAACCAAAGAAAUGGCCUUUGUUAGUUAUUCUGGGCUGGCAGGAAGCCCAAAGAUCCAGCUGACAAAAACUUCAAGUCAGCAAACGCAGUGGGAGGAAUGUCCUUUUCAGAGUCCCGUUUCACAGCCUUGCUGUCACUGAACAUCACAGUAGCUCUGUGCAGAAGCACCUCGCCUCGCCCUUCGUUACAAGGUGAAUCGCCCUUACUCUGUUCCCUGUGCUGAAGUAAUUAACUCUUGUUACUCACCACCAGCACAGCUGCCCAGCCUGUGGAUGCUGGGCUCUGGGGGAAGCUGAUAUCACAGCAACAGUUCAAACUGAUGCUGCCAUCAUUGGAUUUGUGGAGAAAUAACAAAGCUCGGUUGGGUGUCUCUACCACACCACGUAACUCCUGUAAUGUAGCAUCUCAUAGAGUGAAACAGCUUGAGAGGGCAGAGUUAGCCUAGACAAUGGAUAUCCAGCAGAAGGUCCACACGUUAAACACUUGUGUUAGUGUUGGCCCACUAUGGGAUCACUGAGUGGACCAGGAUGCCCAACACAAGGUCAAGGCCUUCACAGAAGCUGCUGGUUCCCAGUGGUCAGUAGUCAGAAAAAUAGGUGCAGAGAACAAACGUAAGGGUCUUUCUCAUACAUUAGUUGGAUAUGAUUUUUUUAUGAUAUUUUUUUUCCUCAGAAACGUAAAGAAAUGAGAAAAUAAAUUCAAAGUAAUUGAAGGAUUCACCAGGAGGCACAGCAAUUUGCACACUUCACAGCAGAGAAGUGAUUUGUUCUGCAAUAAGAGCUCUUCAGAUGAUCUAGAAAUAAACACUUUUUCUCACACAAUUUUCUUUCCUUAGCCUGUGGAACAAGUGAACACUGUUCUUUCUGAUCCUCCCCUUCCCUCAGAGACCCUUUGGUAUUUUCCUCUUCUUAUUUUGAAUUUCCUGUCUGCACUCUAGGGAAAGGAUUUUCCUGUGAGAAACAAAUGUCACACUGCUGAUUUGUUUGGAUGCCAACAGACUAAGUCUGUCCUUCGUGUGGAGCAAGUUCUCAUCUACCUGUUACCACAAGAGGACUGACCUAAGAUUUUUCUUUCCUUAAUUUUAUUUGGAGAUAUCCCUAGAGAAUUAGCUUUCUGCUCCCUAGCAGAAUUGAUAUUUCUAUGUAUGAUAAGCUAAGAAUGAUGACACUGUUUCAGGUAAAUGAAGACCUAAACUGGACUAAAACCCAAAAUUAAAACCAAACAUUACACAUUUUGAAAACCUACCUAAGUUCUGUAGGAUCCUCUGUAGCGCAUGUCUUUUAGGCUACCGUAUUUGAUGUUUUGUUUUGAGAGAGGGAGAAAAAGAAGUGUGCGCAGUCCCCAGCUGUGCACACGUACAGGGAACAGGAUACAGCAGCUCAGCCAGAAACAUCCAGAUAUGAUGAUACUGAACAUAUGCAGAUGUUUCUAAACUACAGAAGGUGCGUUUUCAUCUUCCUGGUGAUUCACAGGUAAUUGUUCAUGGAAAUGAAGACUGUCCAUGGAACACGGGAGGAAAAAAUCUCGUAGAUAUAAGGAUUUCAGACUUGAAUCUGAGCAGUGCAGUUCUUAGGAACUGUGUUCUGUUUCUGCUCAGAAUGAUGUGAACCCAAAUUUGCUUCACCUCAAGCACGAAUGAGAAGAUCACAGGAGAACACAUUUACAUGUGUGCAUGCUCAAAGUGUGUGUUCUGUAUCAAAACUUUCGCUUUGAACCUAUAUAAUAGCAACAGAGUGCGAAAGUCUAGCUGAAGGCUGUGGUAGGAUAUAUUGCUUACUGCAUUUUGUUUGAGAAUCCUUCAAUGUGUCUGGUACUUAGUAUGCUGAAAAUGCCUUAGAUGUCUUGCUGGCCUCUUAUGGUACAUUAAAGGAGAUGCUAGAUGCUGAUCCCUAUGAUUGCAGCAGCACAACUGUGGUACUCACCAGUUUGUGGCUUUGAAUGGGAUGUACAUUAUGUCUUCAAGCUGUUACAGAGCAUUGGGGAGUGUUUUGUGGCUUGUGGUAUACGCAGAAUGCGUGAUUUGUAGAACUUUUGGGUAUAACCAUCUAUUACCCUUGUGCUUGUGAGGCACUGCAAUGGGUGACCCAAGUGGUUUAUUUCAUGCAUCUGUGUGGUAUCUUGUACUGUUCACUAUUUUGUGUGAAAUAUAGAAUUGCUUUCAUUAUACAAUUACUUUGAAAGCUUACUAAGGACUUCUUUAUUAUACAUAAACUAAUUUUGGAUGACAAAAGUCAAGAAGCUUAAUUCUGGGUAUUACAAGCUGGAAAGGAUAGAAUGGGGGGGAAUGGUUUUAAGCUCAAGGAGGGAAGGUUUAGACUGGAUGUCAGGGGGAAGCUCUUUACAGAAAGAGUGGUGAGGUGCUGGCACAGGCUGCCCAGGAAAGCUGUGGAUGCCCCGUCCCUGCAGGUAUUCAAGGCCAGGUUGGAUGGGGCCCUGAGCAACUUGGUCUAGUACCGGAUCUGGAGGUUGGUGGCCCUGUCUGUGUAGAGGGGUUGGAACUUGAUGAUCCUUGGGGUCCCUUCCAACCCAAGCCAAUCUGUGAUUCUAUGAAAGCUCUCAGAGAGCUAGCUGAGGUUCUGAAGGAUGCAAUAGAAUGAUGUACAGCAUGGAUUCAGCUUUGUCUUAAGCCUGUUUCCUUUGUGUUUUGUGCAGUAUAAGUGUAAGAGGUAUCUAAAUCAGCACUUGGCCAUCAUUCAUGGAAAUAAUGCAAGUCAGAUUGGGAUAUUGCUUUAAUAAAAGUCAGGCUUGGUUGUACAGGAAAUUAGAUGGAGCCUGCUGACGCUUUAAAGGCAGAGGAACUGUCUGUGGCAGGUGCUGCUUCGGUAUUCUUGAACCUUGUCUCAGUUGUAACCCAAAUUCAUAAUAUUAGAAAUCUUUUAAAUUCAAGCCUAGGGGAUUUUUUCAAACAAAGCCAUAAGAUAACCUUUCUGUCAAAGACAGAAAAGGCAUUCACGUGACAAACCUAAUCAACAAAGCUAACAUGGCGCAUAAAAUCUGAAUCAUCUAAAAGAGGGUGGCAAGAUAGGUGAACAGUGAAUAAGUAAGUGAAGCUCAUACAAGAGAAAGCAUGUGAGACACUGUAGUAAUCAGAAAGAUGUGUAAAGGUGAACGGUGGUCAAGCUGACCAUGCAAUCAAGAGAAAAGGCAAACCUCCAAACCUAAGUGCACGUCUCACUUUGCCAAAUUCAGCUCUGUAUCCAGUAAGUAAUGUUACAUGGAAAGCACCAGUAGGCUAGGUGGGCCAGGUUUGUACUUCAUUUUGAUUUAGCUUUUCCCUUGACGUUGAUUUCCAUUUAUAUUCUCUGCCCUGAAAUCUGAAGUUGCAUUCCCUAUAACGGAUUGACUUAUCUACAGCUGGAAGCUGAGAUCCCUGCUUCUUUGACACUGCAGUAAUGGAGAUCUAUCUGAGUGUUUCCAUAUGGUGAGCUGAGCAGUCAUCCGAUAUUUCUGCAUCAUUUCUCCCAGGCAGAUGGACAGAUGGUGGAACGUGGUCCUGUUAUUUUUUCUUUUAAACAAAACCUUUUGAUUUCCGUGCAACUCCAUAAACAUCCAUUUCCUUGUAUCAGUGAGAACACCAGGGAAGGUAGCACCUCGUUUGCUUGCCUUGAGCUCCAGGUUGCUGGAUUCCUGGAGACUCUCUUGGCUUUUAUUCAGUUAGACGGCAAGUACUUUUAUUUUGCUGGGACUUUCUUGAUGUCUUCCCUCUGCAGCUGCUUUGAUGUCUUUCUGGUUUCUCUCCCACAUGAACUAUGUUCAGCCACCUGCACCUUAAGUCAGCAUGUUAUCAAACCCUCCACCCACACAACACGGGUUUUUGAACAGCUUUGCAUGUACCCGUAGUUUUGGGGUGGUGGCUCCUAUUGUUUCAGCUAUCUAUUCCAUAAAACCUAAUUGCACUUUGCAAAUAUAAUGAAGGGUGGUUGUUACACCCACUACCUUCAGCAAGACUUCACACAGCUUCUAGCAUCACAAUGCAUGCAUUUUCUGUACCCAGACAAGCCAUUGCAAUUACAGCCCUCAGUGCUCAACAGGACAUUAACCACUGACAACAAAUCAAGUUUUCUCAGACACACUCAUAUGCUCCCAUGAAACUCCUGAAACUGCAGAGCUUUUUCUUCCAUCUUCUUGUAGUAAGGAAGUCCCGUAUUUACGUGCACCACCUCCUUUACCUUGAUAGUGUCUAAGUCCUACAGGAAAACCAUCCCUUCCACUCUUCCUCUUGCCCUUUAAAUCACUCUCCUCUCCCCAGAUACUUCUCCAGUUUAAUCUACCAGUGGGCUUUUCUUUUUGCUGCAAAAGCUGAACUUUCCCUAUCCGUAGGUGUAUAACUUUGUGAAACGCAGUUCAAAAGUAACUGGCAUUGUCAGCUAGAGUCAGUGUGGCCAGCUGGCAGCAUAGCCAGAGCACUUUUGGCAAUGAAUGGAAGCUUUUUACAUAUCUGGUGAGCUCUCAGCCAUGGGACUCCUGUGUUCAAGUUCCUGCUCUGUCUGUCUGAAAGGAUCUGGAGUUGAAACCUCUACAGUGUGCAGAACUACCACUGUAAAGUGGGAUGCCUCCUUCAUCAAGGCAGUGUUUGAUCCCACAAAAUACCUUUUCACGAAUUUAAACAUCCUGUUAAGAGUCCAAAAGAGGACAUCAAGGCAACUGAGUUGACAAGAAAAAUAUAUAUGUAAAAAUUAAUAGCAUUUCAAAGGGUUCUCCUUUCACUCCAGCAUAGAAUAAACAAAUUUCAGAGCCUCUGGAUCUGCUAAGGAACAAGCAUCGUACUCCAGUAGCAACAGAACUGCAGCCUGAAUAGCAACAGGAUGCUAGCAAAAGCAUCCUGGCCUAGAACAGAGAUGUCCUUUAUCUGACACAGGAAAUUUAUCAACUUUGGAGCUUUUCCACAUAAAAUAGAGACUUUCAUGAGCGCUGCUUGCCAAGACCUGCUGCAUGCAGCACACAAAAGAACAGCGUGUCAUGGAAAUAAACGAGCCGCAUCCUUGCACAAGUGCUGUAUUCCUCAGCCCGGCGGUCAUGCCCUGGCAGGAACCUCACCUGGCACCUAUUUUUGUCAGCCAACAGGUCAUAACCCUGAGGCAACACGUUGCUCAGGAGAGAUUCAAAUAAACGAUUCACAGUAACAAAGGGAAUUCAAUGCACAGGCAGGCUUUGGAAAUCCCAUGGAAGUUUUUCUCUGGUGAGUGAUGAACAGAUUGCAAAAAUGCUUAAGUGCAUCUGGGAAGUACCAGAACCCACACCUGGUCCACCCCAGGAAAUUGCUUCAUCAUCAAGCAAAACAGUCGUGCUCCCUCUUGCUUUAUCUCCCUGUGGCUUGAUGAGUCUUCCUUCACUGGCUGGAUCAUGAUUCCACAUCAAUAGGUGAGGUGGGGAGUGUCUCCGUGCCAGAUCACACCCUAGGUAGGCAAAUUACCUUGCACAUGCAGCCUAAAUUUGAACUGCCUGAGGCAGGGACAUGGUCCAUGCUGUACUGAUUCUGAUAUCCCUUGCACCCUGGAUGAGACGUAGGCGUUGCCACAGCUCAGACAAGAACAACACACUUCCCAUGUACAGAGAUAUCAUAGAUGCCUGAGCUCAAGCCAUGAAUCUUGAUUUCAAAUCAUUCCUGAUUCAAAGUCACAAGCAUGCACCUGACCCACGAGAACACAGAAACUUCUGACACAUGUGUGUCAACACUCUUUCCUUGGCCAUUUGUGCUCCCCAGAAGGCUAUGAACCCCUCUUUGGUUACCUGGACCAGGACUGUGAAAUCCAGUACAAACACUGGCUAUUGAAAAGUUAGACAUUUAGCAACUCCAUGCACUCACAUCUGUGCUGCUGUUGUCUGUAACGGCAUGUGCUGUAAUGCAGCCCUGCAAACGGUGUGCGCAAGCGACUGCUAGCUGGGAAUUUUCUAACUUUCAAGUGCUCAGUUCUUUUUUAACAAGGCUUUCAAAUACACCUUGAUGUGUUUCUAAGAGAAAGUUCAAAAAAGUAGGGAAAUGAUAUCACAUGCGAAUUUCAGAAUUUAGCACAGAACUCUAGAGCUCUAGUAAAAUACACUCGUGAGCCAAUAUCACCUCUCUGCUUUAAGCAAGAGGUACUCAUACUUCCUUCUGAAAAGGCUCAGAGAUUUUUUACCCCAAACAAAUGCAUUUCCCACUCUCUGUGCGCUAGCCUUUGGUGAAGUAUUCAGUGAAUUCAGCUUGUGGCAAGUGUCCCCUUUACUGAAAAGUGCAUCCUUGGUUUGUGAAGUUUAUCAAAUACAAAACAAUUACUUGAAAAGCUAAUGCAGCCUCAGAAGGUUAGGAGAUUGAUAGCAGUGUGGUGGAGCCGAGCCAGUGUGAAACCAUCACAGUAUUGGUACCUGCUCUUUCAAUAACAACAUAGUGCUCCUCAAAGAAUGACUGAAUGCCUGGAUCCUUACAGUGCUUUAAAAAUUAGGCAGAAUAGAGAGAGCUUUUGCCUUAUGAUCACAUACGAGCUGGCAGAAGAGAGGAGGCAACAGAGCUGGCUGUUCUACCUUGGCAACACAUCGUCCCCAGAAUUAUCCAUGCUCUCUGCAAUCUCUUAUUAUGCUGGCUGGCCUGAGAAACAGCAGCCUCUCCUCCAAGACAGAGAGAAUAGAGAGAGCCCUCAUCAGCAAGAGGUUUGAGCUCACCUUCACAGCCCCACAGUGAUCGUUCACACAAGGGAUCCGCACCCCUCCAGCCUCACCGUCACAUUCAGAAAGCUGGGACUAGGAUCCAGGACUUCAUAGAUGAAGACAUAGAAAAAGUUCUCCGGCUCAGAACACUCACUGAAGCUGCUGGAAGGCAGAAUAAUCAUAGAGAGGGAGCCAAGUCACACUGAUAUUGUAUGGAGCCUAUUUGGAGGCUUGGCCUCAAUUAGCAUAUAAAUGAAGCGAUACACGCAGUCGCAGCUUGCCAGAAAAUGAGACAGAAUAAUCUCCCCAAUUUGGCAGCUCUCUAGAGCAUUUAGUUUGUGAAUGAGGAGCCAGGCACAAUCUGAAGCCAAGCUGGGUCCACAGCUUACAGCCAAUUGACUUUACAUGGUGAAAACAGGUCUUGGAAAGCAGUGAAGCAGACCAGCACUUCUGCUCUUGAACUAAGUUUCUAUUAUAGGAAAGUGACUUUAAAGUUAUUCAUCACGGUUCCACCUGAUAGCAUUUCACCUACUGCCUGUGCAGGCCCAGAUGAGAUGCGGUACGGACUUCCUGCAGAAGAGUCCUGGACAUUAACAGAGUGCUUGAUUUUAUUCCAAGUAAAGGAGAAGGAACUGAAAGUUCACAGGAAAAAUGAUACGAAGAUGUGACCACAGAGCUGCCGAGCUUAGACACAGACAGAAAUUGUACUUACAGAUCUUCAUUUGGACAGCGAGUAAGGAGACAAAAAUAGAAACGAAGACUCUCAAAAACUGGCGCACAUAGAGGGAAUGAGUAGUUCCAUUUACUGGUAUAGCCUAUGCAGUCCUUUUAAGGUAUUUCUAUUAAGACAGAAGGAAGACGGCUUGUAUUUUUGUGCAAAUGCCUCUCACAGUCAUUAGGGUUUAGUUUUCCUUUCUAAAUAUUUUCAAUUGUCAGGGGCUCAGCUAAGACGCAAAAGCAAGGAAAUCUAAGCACAAUGGCAUGCAGAUUUUUCCAAGAGCAGUGCGGUCUUGCUCCUAUAGCUACACAGUCUACGCUUUGGGGGAGAUCAAAUUUCUAGGAGAGAAAGCGAAACAGAUGUAAACAUAGGUAAAACGUAUGAGGAAAAUCAGUACCAGGCAAAGAUAGCCUUUUCUUUUCCUUCCGACAUUUUAAAUAUACUCUGAUUUAAGAAAGCUGACUUGAAAAGAAAUAUCCGUUCUCCAUUUGCAUUAGCAAGCACAGUCAAGCCUAGAUGUAACUGUACCUUCUGUUUUUCAUCCCGGCAGAAACGUUUCUCUUCAUUAGAAGCUUGGAGUCACAGGAAAAUCUUACAGGUCUCAAGGAGGCUGCUGAAUUAAAAACCUCAUUACAUCCCUUAGCUAGCUCGUGGCUCCCUCAUGCACCAAGUUAGUCCCUUCUCACGUUUGAGCUCCAAUUUAGUGCUUUGUUACGAUGCUGCAGCAGCUGCAGCCUGGAAUUGCGCAGAUGGCUGGUUCUUUGCAGAUGUUCUGGGCCGGCUUCUCAGCACCUGUGAGUGAGGUGCUCUGCUCAAAGUCCCCCUUGCCCCUUUUGUUAACGCUACCACCCCCUGGGCAAUCUGCUUUCCUGGUAAGGCAUUUCUGGCAGAGCUGGUGUGUCAAGAGUGGUUUCAGAGCCGAGUUUCUGGAAAAUAUCCCAUUCAACUUUCAACAAGGGAGAAAUAUUUCAUUGAGGAAUUACUGUUUAACCCUCCCUCACAAAACAAGGAGCAAAGUGGUUCAUCAAAAAAGAAUACAGCAGAAUGAAAUAAUCCCAUGACUCAGUGUUGAACCAGAGUUAUGAUGUAAAUCUACUAGUGACUCCAACAUGCAUCUGUUUAAAUUAAAGGGCAAAACCGCUCUAAUCUUGUUAGGUCUUGCAUAUUCUGACAACAAGACCUGAACUGGAACGGCAACAUAAUUUUCCACUUCUCUCCACACUUUGCUUUCUUGUGGUCAAAAUCUAAGAGUGGCUCUGGCAAAAAAAAAAAAAGAGAGGGCUGCUUCCCAAAAUUUCCCCUUCAUAAAUACAUUUCUGAUUAGUGCUUCUAGGCACGUAACAUCACCUCCAAAAAUCAUGAGCAUCUUAUGGCCAUGACCUAUAACUUGGAAAUUACAGCUUAUUAUGAAGAUACCAGCUCUGUCCUAAAUGCACCCACAAAACGUCCUGCAAAAAUCUUGUCUCUUCCUUUUACUUUUCCCUCUCCCUUCUUCAACUCAAAGAAAAAAAUCGGAAAGCAGAGCAAUACUGCUUAGAAGGCAUAAAUAAUGGCCAUUACAUGGAGUGUACAAGGUGCCUAGAGAAGCAGAGAAUGCUCUGUCACUGGAGGUGUACAAGGCCAGGAGGGUUGAGGCCCUGGGCAGCCUGAUCUGGUGGGUGGCAGCCCUGCCCACAACUGAGGGUUGGAACUAGAUGAUCUUUGAGGUCCCUUCCAACCCAAGCCAUCCUAUGAUUCAGUUUAUAUCAUCUCAGGCCUUCAAGGCCCCAGCUCCAUCUACAGUCCAGGAGUGUUCCAGGAACUGUCCCUGUUUGGCCAAACCUUUCUCUUCAUCUGUUGCAAAACAAGACCAAGGAACACAAACAUCACUUUAUAAGCUUAAGCUACCUGUUUCAAUUGAGGCAAGUAGUGAGCCACAAAGGAAGUCUAGCAGUGAGCUAUCCAUACUCCUUAUGGGUGCCAUUACCAAGCACAUGACUAAUGACCUGGGAACAAGUGCAGUGGGUGCUGUUACACUGUGGACAAGUGCCACACAGGUCUUUCCUGUCUGAUGUGAUUUCCAGCCUCUGGCUCAUCCCAGUUUCAAUUGCUUCCUUUGCUCUGCAAGGUCAGGGAAGCAGCAGAGGCUUCUAACAGGACACAUGCCAUCACUGCCAAGCUGAGUCCAGCCCUACCUCCGGCUGCUGCUUCUGGUGCGGUGGCUGCUCAGGUGAACACACUUGUGAGCAGCUUGCAAACACUCAACACACCCCAACUAUUUUAAUGAGCUUCACCAUACCUACUGCUUGCAGAAAUGCCUACAGAGAAAUGUCAGAAAUAAGGCUGAUUUCUCACUCAGAAAGAACUAGUGCGCUAAAAAUUAAGAUCUCAGAUAAGCUAGGUAACAACCUUCUGUGAGGUUUAGCAUAUGAUGCAGAGACCAGCUGCAAAAUAACAAUUGGAUUUCUGCUAUAAACAGAGUGAGUUUUACAGUGGGGUUGUAUAUCUAUUUUGGUGAAGUUAUUUAUUCAACAGGAAAAAUGCUAUUUGUAAAUCACUUCAUGGGGGGAGGAAAGAGGGAAAGGAAGUCCUGCUUGUGUUAUUAGAAGGUUCACUUCUACGCUGGGACAGACUCUAAAAUUAACAUUUCACAAAGCCACAGAUUUGGAGAGUGUCCAAGAAAAGCAGGUUGGGUUGUUUUGGUUUUUUUUGUUUUGUUUGUUUGUUUUUUUAAAUAAAAGAUCUCAGAGUCUUCAAGACACUUAAAGCUACUUUCCUGCCUGUUUUUUGCACACCAUGUUUUUCUACUUCCUGGCUGGGGGCUGGGAAAAAAAAAGGCAUAAGCUACUGCCCAAGGUCAUUAAGAAUAAUGUGUGUUAUAGGGUCUGCACGAGACAGUGAGGCAAAUGGAGUGAAAAGUGUACUGAAUGUAAAGAGAGGAAACAGAAAGCCCAGGUGGAAAGAUUCUGAGAAAAUCCAGAUUAAAAGCUGUUAAGAAAGAAAGAAAAAUCUGCAAGGAGCUGUAACUUUUGUGCAGCCUGAAUGUAAACUGCAUACUUUAAAUGAGUGGAUGUCACACCUUAAAUUGCUGCCUAUGGGUGAAGUACACACUGAGACAAGGGCGGUUCUAAUGAAAAGAGUCUCCCAAAUGAAAUCAAGUAAUAUCUGACAUCUUUAUCUACUGUAAACAAACAAAUGCUAAAAACCUCUUAUUUCUUCUUGCUACCCUAUUUGAUCUCUCAAAAAAGUCCAGCCAAUUCUUUUGGUUUCUGUAAAAACACUUCAAAUGGAAAACAAAAGAUGAGGUAUUUGUUUUUUAUUCUCAGAUUUCUCCCAAACAUGAACAUGGACAAAAUGGGCUGGAAACGUAAUCGUGAAUUGCAGACACCCGAACAGCACCAAAACAGGAAACAUUUCCAGAAGUUCUCAAGCCCAUAGGGUCCAGGACACUAGCACAGCUUCACUGAAAGACAGGCUGCCAUAGAUUGUAAGUCUAAGAUUACGUUAAACUUUGACUUGUCAGUUAAUUGGUUUCCUCUCGCACUGUGACCUGUUCUAGAUCCAUCUACUUUAUGUGUUUUUAAUCAGACUCAGCAGUGACACAUAUUAGUGAGGCAGUAAUAAUGGAAAAAUAGAGCAUCCUUUGCUCAACGUGUCCUAAAAAAGAUGUUGUCACUUGAGUCAUUCCAAGAAGCCAGCCAUCUGUCCACAAGGCAAGAUACACAUUCAAGUAAAUGUGCAUUUCCUCCUCUCAAAGCCAUUGUGAAUCACAACAUUAUAAACAUAUUAUUAUAUGUUGUUCCCGGGCAGAAUUAUACCAAAAUUAAAACCACCAGCAUGUCUUAGACUUCACCCUACAAGAUACCAGGCGCUCUGUUCUUGCUGCAAAUAGUUAUCCAGACCUUAAUAAGGCAGACCAAAAUAUAGUUCUUCCUCAUGCCUCAGAGUUUUGCAUGGUAAUUGUACUUAAUUCACAGUGUGCAUAUCCUCAAGUUUAAGUAGCACAUUUUGGCUUUACGACAGCCAGAGACCAGCGUGAGUCCUGUAAGUGUUUGCUUCUAGAUCCCAGCUUUAUCAAAUGCACGACUUUACCAAAUUCCUUUCAUUCUUUUUUGCUGCAGCAAACAGCAAGCAGAAGAGCCUCUCUGCCAAAUGCAAGAAUGCUCAUAGGAACUCGGGCUCACACGAGUUCUCCUCUGGGCACAUUCCCAAAUUUGGUACCACGAGAAGAGGCUGAAACACAAAAUCACAGAAGAGCUGUGAUUUUGAAACAAAGGUGUGAUGACCUUCAUGGUCCAAUAAAAACUUUUCCCUAUUUUUAUUUACUUAUUUUUUUUACUCAGUACCAUCAUUUUUUCUGCACAGGUAGAUUUAUUUUUUUUUAAGAAGGUGUUAGUCUAUGAUGUGUUUUCCACCUGAGAAGUGCCCAUGCAAAGGUAGGCAUAUAGCUCUAUGGCUUGAGAAAUGUAGCUGAAGGACUCCUUGCAAGGUAGUGUUUCAGUGUUGCAUCUGUCCCCUUGAUUUUUUGGGAAGUUAUCUAGGAGACAGGAUUUGCAAUUAAAGAAUUCAGUAUUUCUUUAACAUUCACUUAAACUAAUAUUUAAAAUCUAAUCUUUUCUCCUUCCAAUUCUUGAUUUCAUUUUCUCCCGGAUUAGUCACAAUUGUAAUAUUUUAUGCAUUUAUUAAACAAUAAAUACCAUAUAUCAGUUUCUUCAUCUUCCUAUUUCUGUCAUUAGUAUUUUGCUCUAUAGUUAAUAAUUUAACCCUGGAGCAUGGGUUAAGUUUGAAACUCAG